CUCCUUAACCCACCCACACGCCACACCCCACUUCCCUCUCUCUCCCUUUAACCCCUCCCUCUGUCUCUCUACCCAAUUUCUUUCUAUCUCAGCCAAACAAAAUCUAUGCAUCUCUCUCUACCACUCUUACUUCUCUCAGAUCUGAGAUUUUCUUUCGUUUUUUUCUUGGAAAAACACCUGUGCAUCAGAUUUGAGAAACACCAACGCCUCCGCAUCUCUCUCAAUCUCAAUCGAUCCGUCUCUCCCUCUCGUAGCAUCUCACGCUCAGAUCCCAACUGUCUGUCGUUUGAGAAAGAACUUGAAGAAAUGCAAGAGAAGCUUCAGGCAACGAGGCUUUAGAAGGAGAAACCGAGAAGCUCCUUAAGAAGGAGGAGAUCUUGAAGUUCAAGAAGGAAGAGCUCCAAACAAAGGGCCAAGAGCAAGACAAGCUUCAGAUGGAGUUGAAGAAGCUGCAGGACUUCAAACUCGUCGAGUCGGUUAAGUCUGAGAUCGGAUCUAAGAUUUUGAGGAAGCACCAUCGUCUUCACUAUUCCUCAGAUCAAUGCCAUAAGGAGGACUUAUCAUUGUCGUGAUCAUCAGUACCUAUAUGGCUAUCUAGCUUGUGGUUGUGCUGGUCUCUCUAUCGGUAUGGCUAUCAGCAUUGUUGAUGAUGUCGGUGUUAGCAUGAAGCUACAAGUAGCAACAUUGUCAGGCACAAGGAGUUUAGUCUUCAAACACUUGGAAUUGGUGGCUUAGGUGCUGAGUUUGCAGAUAUAUUUCGAAGAGCUUUUGUAUCCCAUGUUUUCCCUCCUCACAUGACAAAUAAAUUGUUAAUGGCCCUGAAGUUUUGAGCAAGUUGGUGAAACUAAGAAAAAUGUUAGGAAUCUAUAUGCUGAUGCUGAGAAUGAUCAAAGGGCUCGUGGUAAGGGAAAUAUAUACAUGUCAAGUGCACUUAGGCUGGUUUUUCAAUAAUUUCUAAUCUCAUUAUGCCCUUAAUUCCCCUGGAGACCAGAGUGGUUUGCAUGCGAUAAUCUUUGAUGAAAUGGAUGCUAUUUGUAAGAAAAAGUUGUGGGACUCUCAGUUUAAGCGAGAAGAGAAUGUGGUUUAAGUGAGCUUCAUUGCACUAAGAACUUGGGUCCAUCGGCUGUAGUGUUGUGGGGGAGGAUAGGAUUCUGAAGGACUUGGUUGUAAAUAACUGAAAUACAUGUAUAUUGUGGGAUUUGUUGUAAAUAACUAAAGUAUGUGUAUAUUAUGGGAUUUGUUGAUUUAAAA
Molecule: long non-coding RNA, 1251 nt
Organism: Pyrus x bretschneideri (Chinese white pear)
Lineage: Eukaryota; Viridiplantae; Streptophyta; Magnoliopsida; Rosales; Rosaceae
Exons: 5
Source: RefSeq, a predicted model, not a curated record